UUUAUGGAGAGUUUGAUCCUGGCUCAGGAUGAACGCUGGCGGUGUGCCUAAUACAUGCAAGUCGAGCGAACAGACGAGGAGCUUGCUCCUUUGACGUUAGCGGCGGACGGGUGAGUAACACGUGGGUAACCUACCUAUAAGACUGGGAUAACUUCGGGAAACCGGAGCUAAUACCGGAUAAUAUUUCGAA
Molecule: ribosomal RNA, 190 nt
Filed under: Staphylococcus hominis
Lineage: Bacteria; Bacillati; Bacillota; Bacilli; Caryophanales; Staphylococcaceae
Description: partial 16S ribosomal RNA
Rfam family: Bacterial small subunit ribosomal RNA
Source: RNAcentral